RNAcentral lists this small RNA (148 nucleotides) under Callithrix jacchus (white-tufted-ear marmoset). RNAcentral describes it as "Metazoan signal recognition particle RNA (ENSCJAG00000070121.1)". Lineage: Eukaryota; Metazoa; Chordata; Mammalia; Primates; Cebidae. The record is from Rfam by way of RNAcentral.
ACUGGGCAUGGUGGCGCGUGUCUGUAAUCCCAGCUACUUGGGAGGCUGGGGCAGGAGAAUCCCUUGAGCCCGGGAGUCUGAGGUUGCAGUGAGCCAAGAUUGCACCAUUGCACUCCAGCCUGGGCAACAGAGCGAGACUCUGUCUCAA